Molecule: non-coding RNA, 73 nt
Organism: Potamilus streckersoni
Lineage: Eukaryota; Metazoa; Mollusca; Bivalvia; Unionida; Unionidae
Source: the annotation of a GenBank genome assembly
GCUCCGGUGGCCUAGUGGUUAGAGAAUCCGCCUCGGAUGCAGUAGCUCGUGGGUUCGAACCCCGGUCGAAUCA